AUUGUCCGAGUGUAACGGGCGACUUUAGGUUUAACACAUUUUAGGGUUUGGCGGCUAUGGCGGCUGAAGCGGUGAGGGAGCUGAAGAAAUCGCUCAACGACGACGAGGGUUUCUUUGAUAGGCACGAAGAGAUGACUGAUCUGCUCACACAUAUUGAGGGAGACAACCGCAUCGCUGUAGUGCUGGGCCCCAACGAUUCAGGCAAGUCCGCUCUGCUCAAGCAGCUCAGGAAGAUGUGGGAUACCAGCCCUUUGCUGAAAGCCCAGUUGCCGCUCUUCUACAUGGACAUGAGGGCUGCGGACUUCAGUUCCCCAUAGCAGGCACAGAUUGCAAGACAGAUGCGAACUUCGGCUUUUUGGCUCAUAGAUGUGGCAGCUCAAAGUGCCCUGCAACUGGCUUCCAUUGCUUAAUGUCUAUGUGACUUUAGAACCACUGCCGGAAAAGGUUGUCGAAGGUGUACAUAAUCACCACAACAGCCCGGUUUUGUUUGGUCAUGGCUAUGAAACAUCCCAGGAGGGCUAUGAAACAUCUUAG
Molecule: long non-coding RNA, 534 nt
Filed under: Selaginella moellendorffii
Lineage: Eukaryota; Viridiplantae; Streptophyta; Lycopodiopsida; Selaginellales; Selaginellaceae
Description: long non-coding RNA (SMOE_LNC002089)
Source: RNAcentral